Molecule: ribosomal RNA, 263 nt
Filed under: uncultured bacterium
Lineage: Bacteria
Description: partial 16S ribosomal RNA
Rfam family: Bacterial small subunit ribosomal RNA
Source: RNAcentral
GUCCACGCCCUAAACGAUGUCGACUAGUUGUUCGGGAAGGUGACUUCUUGAGUAACGUAGCUAACGCUUGAAGUCGACCGCCUGGGGAGUACGGCCGCAAGGUUAAAACUCAAAUGAAUUGACGGGGACCCGCACAAGCGGUGGAUGAUGUGGAUUAAUUCGAUGCAACGCGAAAACCUUACCUACCCUUGACAUGUCUGGAAGUCUGCAGAGAUGCGGAUGUGCCUUCGGGAACCAGAACACAGGUGCUGCAUGGCUGUCGU